AACGUAGGUGGCAAGCGUUGUCCGGAAUUACUGGGUGUAAAGGGAGCGCAGGCGGGAUGGCAAGUUGAAUGUGAAAACUAUGGGCUCAACCCAUAGACUGCGUUCAAAACUGCUGUUCUUGAGUGAUGGAGAGGCAGGCGGAAUUCCCGGUGUAGCGGUGGAAUGCGUAGAUAUCGGGAGGAACACCAGUGGCGAAGGCGGCCUGCUGGACAUUAACUGACGCUGAGGCUCGAAAGUGUGGGGAGCAAACAGG
Molecule: ribosomal RNA, 253 nt
Filed under: uncultured bacterium
Lineage: Bacteria
Description: partial 16S ribosomal RNA
Rfam family: Bacterial small subunit ribosomal RNA
Source: RNAcentral